This 395-nucleotide ribosomal RNA is filed under the name uncultured bacterium. RNAcentral's name for it is "bacterial SSU rRNA". It matches the Rfam family "Bacterial small subunit ribosomal RNA", at positions 236 to 622 of the family's 1533-position model. The record is from RNAcentral.
CCUGAUUAGCUAGUUGGUGAGGUAAAGGCUCCACCAAGGCGACGAUCAGUAGCUGGUCUGAGAGGAUGAUCAGCCACACUGGAACUGAGACACGGUCCAGACUCCUACGGGAGGCAGCAGUGGGGAAUUUUGGACAAUGGGGGAAACCCUGAUCCAGCCAUUCCGCGUGAGUGAAGAAGGCCUUCGGGUUGUAAAGCUCUUUCAGGAGGGAAGAAACGGUUGCAGCUAAUACCUGCGACUAAUGACGGUACCUUCAGAAGAAGCACCGGCUAACUACGUGCCAGCAGCCGCGGUAAUACGUAGGGUGCGAGCGUUAAUCGGAAUUACUGGGCGUAAAGCGUGCGCAGGCGGUUUUGUAAGUCAGAUGUGAAAGCCCCGGGCUCAACCUGGGAACU